Molecule: ribosomal RNA, 468 nt
Filed under: uncultured bacterium
Lineage: Bacteria
Description: partial 16S ribosomal RNA
Rfam family: Bacterial small subunit ribosomal RNA
Source: RNAcentral
GACGAACGCUGGCGGCGUGCUUAACACAUGCCAGUCGAACGGAAAGGCCCUGCUUUUGUGGGGUGCUCGAGUGGCGAACGGGUGAGUAACACGUGAGUAACCUGCCCUUGACUUUGGGAUAACUUCAGGAAACUGGGGCUAAUACCGGAUAGGAGCUCCUGCUGCAUGGUGGGGGUUGGAAAGUUUCGGCGGUUGGGGAUGGACUCGCGGCUUAUCAGCUUGUUGGUGGGGUAGUGGCUUACCAAGGCUUUGACGGGUAGCCGGCCUGAGAGGGUGACCGGGCACAUUGGGACUGAGAGACGGCCCAGACUCCUACGGGAGGCAGCAGUGGGGAAUAUUGCACAAUGGGCGGAAGCCUGAUGCAGCAACGCCGCGUGCGGGAUGACGGCCUUCGGGUUGUAAACCGCUUUCGCCUGUGACGAAGCGUGAGUGACGGUAAUGGGUAAAGAAGCACCGGCUAACUACGUG